UAGGGUUCGAUUCCGGAGAGGGAGCCUGAGAAACGGCUACCACAUCUAUGGAAGGCAGCAGGCGCGUAAAUUACCCAAUCCUGAUUCAGGGAGGUAGUGACAAGAAAUAACAACCUAUGUCCUUCGGGACUGUGGAUUGUAAUGAGUUCAAUUUAAAACACUGAACGAGGAACAAUUGGAGGGCAAGUCUGGUGCCAGCAGCCGCGGUAAUUCCAGCUCCAAUAGCGUAUAUUAAAGUUGUUGCAGUUAAAAAGCUCGUAGUUGAAUUUCUAUAUGCAUAUUGGUUGGAGCAAUUCGUCAAUAUGUAUAUAUCCGACAUUGAACUAUAAUGGUUAUUUAGUUAAUCUUAUAGCGAACUGUCAUUUUACUUUGAAAAAAUUAGAGUGUUUCAGGCAGGCAUUUGCCCGAAUAUCUUAGCAUGGAAUAAUGGAAUAGGACUUUGGUUCAUUUGAUUGGUUAUUGAAUCAGAGUAAUGAUUAAUAGGGACAGUUGGGGGCAUUAGUAUUUAAUUGUCAGAGGUGAAAUUCUUGGAUUUAUUAAAGACUAACUUAUGCGAAAGCAUUUGCCAAGGAUGUUUUCAUUAAUCAAGAACGAAAGUUAGGGGAUCAAAGACGAUCAGAUACCGUCCUAGUCUUAACUAUAAACUAUACCGACUCAGGAUUGGCGAGCGUUAAAACCUCGUCAGCACUGUAUGAGAAAUUAAAGUCUUUGGGUUCUGGGGGGAGUAUGGUCGCAAGGCUGAAACUUAAAGGAAUUGACGGAAGGGCACCACCAGGAGUGGAGCCUGCGGCUUAAUUUGACUCAACACGGGGAAACUUACCAAGGCCAAACAGAGGUGGGAUUGACAGAUUGAGAGCUCUUUCUUGAUUCUUUGGGUGGUGGUGCAUGGCCGUUCUUAGUUGGUGGAGUGAUUUGUCUGGUUAAUUCCGUUAACGAACGAGACCUUAACCUGCUAACUAGUUUAUAUUCUCACAGAGUAUAAUACUUCUUAGAGGGACUAUAUAUGUUAAGUAUAUGGAAGUUUGAGGCAAUAACAGGUCUGUGAUGCCCUUAGAUGCCUUGGGCCGCACGUGCGCUACAAUGACAUGCUCAGCAAGUUCUAUCCUGAUUUGUAAAAAUUUGGGUAAUCUUUAUAGGACAUGUCGUGUUAGGGAUCGAUCUUUGGAAUUAUAGAUCUUGAACGAGGAAUUCCUAGUAAGUGCAAGUCAUCAGCUUGUACUGAUUACGUCCCUGCCCUUUGUACACACCGCCCGUCGCUGCUACCGAUUUCGAGUGGUCCGGUGAACCACAUAGACUUUUUUCGGCAACGAAGAAAGAAAGUGUAGUAAACCUUAUCACUUAGAGGAAGCAGAAGUCGUAACAAGGUUUCCGUAGGUGAA
This 1379-nucleotide ribosomal RNA is filed under the name Pseudocollinia brintoni. Its description in RNAcentral is "SSU rRNA". It matches the Rfam family "Eukaryotic small subunit ribosomal RNA", at positions 371 to 1813 of the family's 1831-position model. The record is from RNAcentral. Lineage: Eukaryota; Ciliophora; Oligohymenophorea; Apostomatida; Colliniidae.